GUUUUCUUAAUAUAAUUAGUAUAUCUGACUUCCAAUCAGAAAGUCUAGAGCUUCUAGAGAAAACA
This 65-nucleotide transfer RNA is filed under the name Lissocarcinus arkati. RNAcentral's name for it is "tRNA-Gly". Lineage: Eukaryota; Metazoa; Arthropoda; Malacostraca; Decapoda; Portunidae. The record is from RNAcentral.